This 495-nucleotide ribosomal RNA is filed under the name uncultured bacterium. Its description in RNAcentral is "partial 16S ribosomal RNA". It matches the Rfam family "Bacterial small subunit ribosomal RNA", at positions 30 to 507 of the family's 1533-position model. The record is from RNAcentral.
UGAACGCUGGCGGCGUGCCUAAUACAUGCAAGUCGAGCGAACGGACGAGAAGCUUGCUUCUCUGAUGUUAGCGGCGGACGGGUGAGUAACACGUGGAUAACCUACCUAUAAGACUGGGAUAACUUCGGGAAACCGGAGCUAAUACCGGAUAAUAUUUUGAACCGCAUGGUUCAAAAGUGAAAGACGGUCUUGCUGUCACUUAUAGAUGGAUCCGCGCUGCAUUAGCUAGUUGGUAAGGUAACGGCUUACCAAGGCAACGAUGCAUAGCCGACCUGAGAGGGUGAUCGGCCACACUGGAACUGAGACACGGUCCAGACUCCUACGGGAGGCAGCAGUAGGGAAUCUUCCGCAAUGGGCGAAAGCCUGACGGAGCAACGCCGCGUGAGUGAUGAAGGUCUUCGGAUCGUAAAACUCUGUUAUUAGGGAAGAACAUAUGUGUAAGUAACUGUGCACAUCUUGACGGUACCUAAUCAGAAAGCCACGACUAACUACGUG